This 550-nucleotide ribosomal RNA is filed under the name Chlorotetraedron incus. Its description in RNAcentral is "LSU rRNA". It matches the Rfam family "Bacterial large subunit ribosomal RNA", at positions 699 to 1217 of the family's 2925-position model. Lineage: Eukaryota; Viridiplantae; Chlorophyta; Chlorophyceae; Sphaeropleales; Neochloridaceae. The record is from RNAcentral.
GUUAUAUUUAAAGCCCCCGAAUGCAGGUGAUCUUCCCCUGGCCAGGCUGAAGAACGGACAAAUUCCGUGUUGGAGGGCCGAACCCGUGAACGUGGCAAAGUUCUGGGAUGAGCUGGGGGAGGGAGUGAAAGGCUAAUCAAACUUGCGUAUAGCUGGUUUUUGACGAAAAGCAUUAAGGUGCUACUAUAAUCUUAAAUAGUUGUAAACUCAGGGACAAUCCUAGGAGCGGGCAGGUCUAAGCUGCAACUCUCCUGUGAUGACCGUGAAGAGUACAAAAAAUGGAUUGUAAGUUAGGCAGUGGAUGCUAAGGUCCUCUGCCGAGAAGGAAACAACCUAGAAAGAUCUUAAAGGUCCCUAAGCAUAGACUUAAAACUUGAUUUUUCAAGUUUUAGCAUAGUGGGUAUGGAAGUUUUAUCGCGUAGACCCUCAGAAGAUAGGCUUGGAAACAGCCAGUCUAGAAUGAAAACGUAAUAGUUCACUGAGAGAGCUUUAAAGCGCCCAAUAUUAACGGGGCUUAAGCCUAUCACCUUAAAGUCUUUAUGUGAAUAUC